This 313-nucleotide long non-coding RNA is filed under the name Homo sapiens (human). RNAcentral's name for it is "non-protein coding lnc-DMWD-2:1". Lineage: Eukaryota; Metazoa; Chordata; Mammalia; Primates; Hominidae. The record is from RNAcentral.
GGGGAGUGGUUGGAAGGAGGGCCCAGAGCUGGUGGGCCCAGAGGGGUGGGCCCAAGCCUCGCUCUGCUCCUUUUGGUCCAGGUGCGGUCGCUGGUGGCUGUGGGCACCCCAGACUACCUGUCCCCCGAGAUCCUGCAGGCUGUGGGCGGUGGGCCUGGGACAGGCAGCUACGGGCCCGAGUGUGACUGGUGGGCGCUGGGUGUAUUCGCCUAUGAAAUGUUCUAUGGGCAGACGCCCUUCUACGCGGAUUCCACGGCGGAGACCUAUGGCAAGAUCGUCCACUACAAGGAGCACCUCUCUCUGCCGCUGGUGG